Molecule: non-coding RNA, 188 nt
Filed under: Odontella aurita
Lineage: Eukaryota; Bacillariophyta; Thalassiosirophyceae; Eupodiscales; Odontellaceae
Source: RNAcentral
CUUGGGGAAAUUCCCCGGACGUAAGGGCAGAGAGUACCACCCGGAAAAAGGGACUUCGGCGCAGAUGCCGCUCCUUGUGGCAAAGAGGACCACAUCUCUUCUGGUGUGGUAAGAGCUUGGGAGACGGCUCUGUUAACCAGCCGCUGUCUGAUCAAAGUUAUGCUGUUCAGAACACAACGGGGGUCACU